UCGAACAGACCUAAAUUUUUCAGCUCCUACACCAAAAUUUUAUUUUAAUCCAACAUCGARGUCGCAAUCCCUUUUUUCGAUUUGAACUCUUUAAAAAAAUUACGCUGUUAUCCCUAARGUAAUUUACUCUUAUAAUCUUUACUUAARGAUCAUAUACUCACAAAUAAAUGUUUAAAUAUAAAAAAAGUUUAAUAAAUUUUUCAAUCACCCCAACCAAAUUAAUUUUCAUAUAAAAAAUAAUUAAUACUAAAAUUUUCCAUAUAAAUUUUAAUAAAACUCUAUAGGGUCUUCUCGUCUUUUAUUACAAUUUAAGCUUUCUUACUUAAAAAUAAAGUUCUAAUGAAUUAAAAUAGAGACAGUCAUUUUCCCAUCAAACCUUUCAUUCCAGCUUUCAAUUAAAAAACUAAUUAUUAUGCUACCUUUGCACGGUCAGGUUACCGCGGCCAUUUAAAAUUCAUAGGGCAGGUCAGACCUUAAAUUAUAUUCAAAAG
RNAcentral lists this ribosomal RNA (491 nucleotides) under Piezonotus kalidupae. RNAcentral describes it as "partial 16S ribosomal RNA". The record is from RNAcentral. Lineage: Eukaryota; Metazoa; Arthropoda; Insecta; Coleoptera; Curculionidae.